UACGGGGGGGGCGAGCGUUGUCCGAAGUUACUGGGCGUAAAGCGCGUGUAGGCGGGUUGUUAAGUCCGCUGUGAAAGCCCGGUGCUCAACGCCGGAGGCUCGGUGGAUACUGGCAGUCUUGAAGUGGCUAGGGGGAAAUGGAAUUACCGGUGUAGCGGUGAAAUGCGUAGAUAUCGGUAGGAACACCAGUGGCGAAGGCGGUUUCCUGGAGCUAACUUGACGCUGAGACGCGAAAGCUGGGGGAGCAAACGGG
RNAcentral lists this ribosomal RNA (253 nucleotides) under uncultured bacterium. RNAcentral describes it as "partial 16S ribosomal RNA". It matches the Rfam family "Bacterial small subunit ribosomal RNA", at positions 524 to 776 of the family's 1533-position model. The record is from RNAcentral.